UAUGAUUUUGUAAUCUUUUCCACAGGCCUUCCUUCGUCAUCACUGAUUGGUGUCUGGGACUGAGUUAUCCCUCAUCUCAGUUCAGGGGCCAUUGUCUAUCGAAAAAAGACCUUUACCUUUUAUUAUUGCUUUAAAACCCGUGUCUCCGCAUCUGUUCUCCAGUUUUUUUAGAACCUGGCCAAAACUGCACCAUCACAGCCCGGGCCUGGAUGAACAGGGAAGACAAAAUCAGGUAAAGCAAUUUUAUUAUCCAAGGAGAGUCUGUAAUCUCUUUAAAUAUUUAUCUUUAAAUCAACUUUAGGAAGGUAUAACUCAUUUAUUUUUUUUUAUUUUUGUGUUUAUUAGUACAUAUUUACCAUACAUAAUGAUAUGUCCUUGUUGAGAGUUGGUCCAUGUACAUAACGCAUCUUCAUUCUUUUUUCAUUCCCCUUCCCUCUCCUCCCUC
This 445-nucleotide long non-coding RNA is filed under the name Fukomys damarensis (Damara mole-rat). RNAcentral describes it as "lncRNA (ENSFDAG00000024554.1)". The record is from RNAcentral. Lineage: Eukaryota; Metazoa; Chordata; Mammalia; Rodentia; Bathyergidae.